RNAcentral lists this ribosomal RNA (468 nucleotides) under uncultured bacterium. RNAcentral's name for it is "partial 16S ribosomal RNA". It matches the Rfam family "Bacterial small subunit ribosomal RNA", at positions 28 to 507 of the family's 1533-position model. The record is from RNAcentral.
GACGAACGCUGGCGGCGUGCUUAACACAUGCAAGUCGAACGGAAAGGCCCUGCUUUUGUGGGGUGCUCGAGUGGCGAACGGGUGAGUAACAAGUGAGUAACCUGCCCUUGACUUUGGGAUAACUUCAGGAAACUGGGGCUAAUACCGGAUAGGAGCUCCUGCUGCAUGGUGGGGGUUGGAAAGUUUCGGCGGUUGGGGAUGGACUCGCGGCUUAUCAGCUUGUUGGUGGGGUAGUGGCUUACCAAGGCUUUGACGGGUAGCCGGCCUGGGAGGGUGACCGGCCACAUUGGGACUGAGAUACGGGCCAGACUCCUACGGGAGGCAGCAGUGGGGAAUAUUGCACGAUGGGCGGAAGCCUGAUGCAGCAACGCCGCGUGCGGGAUGACGGCCUUCGGGUUGUAAACCGCUUUCGCCUGUGACGAAGCGUGAGUGACGGUAAUGGGUAAAGAAGCACCGGCUAACUACGUG